Molecule: long non-coding RNA, 863 nt
Organism: Glossina fuscipes
Lineage: Eukaryota; Metazoa; Arthropoda; Insecta; Diptera; Glossinidae
Exons: 6
Source: RefSeq, a predicted model, not a curated record
UAUUUAACAUUCAAGAGUUCGAGAUUGUAUGUGUUCACCAAAAGCUUCUAUUCCAUUGUGAGGUAUUCUGGAAUAUGUGGUAUAUACAUACAAAAUUUGAUACUGUGACUAUAAAUCCAAUUGCCAUACUUACAAUUUAGAGUUUUGUAAAAAUCUCAUGGAGACAUACUUGGCAAUACUCUAAUAUAUAUGGAUUCGCGAUGUGGUUGCCAACACACAUUGAUAUUAAUCAAUAAUGGCUUAUAUUGGGCAUUAGGACUCAAUGGCACUGCAGCCAAUCCUUGUACGCACUCGUGAUGGCAUGGAUGUUACCGUAUUGGAAGCUGGACAAUAUCACAACGCUGUUGUUACCAACGGUCUAUUGCUCACUUGGGGACUACAACCAAUCGCCACGUAACAUGUGUCAGUGUCGAAUGGCUAAGCAGACAGAUGGGUACACCGUGCUUAAAUUGGCUUAAGCAAUUGUGACGGUUAUUUCUUAUACCGGCUACGACAUGGAGGAUGCCAUGAUUAUAAAUAAAUCUGCCUAUGAACAUGGUUUCGCUCACGGUAGCAUCUAUAUAUCAAAAUGUUUUGAAUUGAGUGGAAAUUGCUAUUUUGCUCGUAGUCCGCAAAUGCCAGAGCUUCGCGAACAUUUAGAUAGAUUUACCUCAUCCGGGCAGCAGAUCUGAAUAUGUUUUGACAAAGAUGUAACACGUAUGUGUCAUAAUCCUGAAAAUGGUCCUUUGUUAUUGGCUUGGAUGAUGGUGAACAUACGGUAUACCAACGCUUCGGAAAAUGAUCAGCAAGUUGCCGUCAAAUGGGCAAACUAUCAUUGGAUUUAAAUUGCUUUUCGUAUAUGCAUGAUAUGAUUUCAAACCCGA